GGGAAUCUUCCACAAUGGGCGAAAGCCUGAUGGAGCAACGCCGCGUGGGUGAAGAAGGUCUUCGGAUCGUAAAACCCUGUUGUUAGAGAAGAAAGUGCGUGAGAGUAACUGUUCACGUUUCGACGGUAUCUAACCAGAAAGCCACGGCUAACUACGUGCCAGCAGCCGCGGUAAUACGUAGGUGGCAAGCGUUGUCCGGAUUUAUUGGGCGUAAAGCGAGCGCAGGCGGUCUUUUAAGUCUGAUGUGAAAGCCUUCGGCUUAACCGGAGUAGUGCAUUGGAAACUGGGAGACUUGAGUGCAGAAGAGGAGAGUGGAACUCCAUGUGUAGCGGUGAAAUGCGUAGAUAUUAGGAGGAACACCAGUUGCGAAGGCGGCUCUCUGGACUGUAACUGACACUGAGGCACGAAAGCGUGGGGAGCA
This 421-nucleotide ribosomal RNA is filed under the name uncultured bacterium. RNAcentral describes it as "bacterial SSU rRNA". It matches the Rfam family "Bacterial small subunit ribosomal RNA", at positions 357 to 770 of the family's 1533-position model. The record is from RNAcentral.